UCGGAUAUGGUGUAAUGGUUAACAUUACCGCCUCUCAUACAAAAGCUUCGCGGUAGCUCGGGGUUCGAUUCCCCGUAUCCGAA
RNAcentral lists this transfer RNA (83 nucleotides) under Suillus subaureus. It matches the Rfam family "tRNA". Rfam says of the family: Transfer RNA (tRNA) molecules are approximately 80 nucleotides in length. Their secondary structure includes four short double-helical elements and three loops (D, anti-codon, and T loops). Further hydrogen bonds mediate the characteristic L-shaped molecular structure. tRNAs have two regions of fundamental functional importance: the anti-codon, which is responsible for specific mRNA codon recognition, and the 3' end, to which the tRNAs corresponding amino acid is attached (by aminoacyl-tRNA synthetases). tRNAs cope with the degeneracy of the genetic code in two manners: having more than one tRNA (with a specific anti-codon) for a particular amino acid; and 'wobble' base-pairing, i.e. permitting non-standard base-pairing at the 3rd anti-codon position. The record is from Rfam by way of RNAcentral. Lineage: Eukaryota; Fungi; Basidiomycota; Agaricomycetes; Boletales; Suillaceae.